Long non-coding RNA from Nanorana parkeri, 199 nucleotides. RefSeq lists it as uncharacterized. The transcript is spliced from 3 exons. The record is from RefSeq and is a predicted model, not a curated record. Lineage: Eukaryota; Metazoa; Chordata; Amphibia; Anura; Dicroglossidae.
GAUUUAAAUUUAUCAUAAGUUUAUUUAGCUUUUUAUUCAUGUGGGUGUUUUGUUUUUCAGUAUUAAAAAGAUGGAUGUAUAUAGAUUCUUAGUGUUAGUGAUCAAGUAGUAUUGGAUGGAAAACGAAUGCAUUAGACAAAUAUUAUGGUAUAUUUGGAAAAUACCUAAUGUAUUAUUUGUUUGUUUCAUAAUAUGGAUU